GGAGGAGGAGGAGGAGGGGAAGAGAAAGGAGGAGGUGGAGAUGAGGAGGAGAAUCCUAUCCAGAAAGCAGAAGAUGAUUUCUGGCAUUUACUGAAUCAAGAGAAACAAGAUAUUGAGAAACGCGAAAAGAAGCGCCAAGAAGCUUUCUUACCCAAGCAUCAACCAACACCAAUACCUGAAGAAACUGGAGAAACACCUUCUGCAGAUGAUCAAGAAGAAGGAGCUUAAAUUUUAACAAUAAAGGCAUAUGACUUCUUGCAAUUUCUUUCCCUCUUUGUCUCUUUCUUCUUUUCAUCUGUUAUCCCUCAUCUGUCUUUCUCUUUCACCUCUCUCGCCUACCCUCUCUGAUAUUUAUAAUUAUUAUCACACAUCAAUACAAUACAAUAACACAAAACAAUGUUCUUCUGUUGUACACAACUACUUUAACACAAAAA
This is a long non-coding RNA of Amphimedon queenslandica, 434 nucleotides long. RefSeq lists it as uncharacterized. Lineage: Eukaryota; Metazoa; Porifera; Demospongiae; Haplosclerida; Niphatidae. The record is from RefSeq and is a predicted model, not a curated record. The transcript is spliced from 3 exons.